This 2042-nucleotide long non-coding RNA is filed under the name Homo sapiens (human). Its description in RNAcentral is "HSALNT0349089". Lineage: Eukaryota; Metazoa; Chordata; Mammalia; Primates; Hominidae. The record is from RNAcentral.
CUACCAAUCAGCAGGAUGUGGGUGAGGCCGGAUAAGAGAAUAAAAGCAGGCUGCCCCAGCUAGCAGUGGCAACCUGCUCGGGUCCCCUGCCACACUAUGGAAGCUUUGUUCUUUUGCUCUUUGCAAUAAAUCUUGCUACUGCUUACUCUUUGGGUCCACACUGCCUUCAUGAGCUGUAACACUCACCGGGAAGGUCUGCAACUUCACUCCUGAGCCAGCGAGACCACGAGCCCACUGGAAGGAACAAACUCCCGCACGCCGCCUUUAAGAACUGUAACACUCACAGAGAGGGCCCGCGGCUUCAUUCCCGAAGUCAGUGAGACCAAGAACCAACCAAUUCCGGGCACGUUUCUUUUUCUGCAUCCGCUGCUCUGUUAAGUGAUCACCACAUUCAUUGUUCUCGUUUCUAUUAUUUCUGAAAAAAAUCUUCAGGAUUCUGCUUGUGGGAGUGGAUGACAUUUUUACAGUGUUUACAGAGUAAGCAGAUUGGACUGGGACAUGAUCUUCUCUUCAAGAGGGCAGAAGCACAAGGCCCAAUGUAUAAUUGCUAUUCAUAACUCUACUUAUGUGAUAUUUGUUACCUGGGUCCCUACAUUAGCCAAGGCAGAACACAUGGUCAAGCUGAGGUGCAGAGAAUUACACCUUGACUACACAAGAGUAUAAAUACAAGGAGGAGUGAAACUCCAGGGCCAUUACUGUUGCCAAUCUAACACAAAUAGGACACUCCAUUUUUUAAGAUUGUAAGUUCUGCAGGAAAAAUGCCUGAGUCAAUAUCCUGGCCCUACCAGGAGCUCUGUAACCUUGGAAAAAUUACUAAGCCUGGUUUCUCAUUUUAAUAAGGAAAGACAGCAAAACUAUACCUCAUAUCAUUAAUGAGUACACAUUUGUGAGCCCUAUAUCUAACACAAAAUAUGUACCAAAAAUAUUAAUUGUAUUAUUCCAUAUAUGUGGGCAUUGAGGUUCACAGGAGUUGACGUAUUUAAAAAUAAAAUUUAACAUUAAUAAUAUGUGCUGAAAUUGUGCUUGAAUGCAGAAAUUCAGAUUUCCUGACUUUGGAUUUCAGGUUUGUUAAACAACAUCCUGCUAUUACUAUGUAAAAACAUUGAAGUAUAAUCACUAUAGAAAAAGGAAAUAUAAUUAAUCAAUUAUUACAUUCUUUCUUUCUUUCUUUUUGGGGACGGGGUCUCGCUCUGUCCCCCAGGCUGGAGGGGGGACCGUCUCAGCUCACUGCAACCUCUGCCUCCUGGGUUCAAGUGAUUUACCUGCCUCAGCUUCCUGAGUAGCUGGGACUAUAGGCACCUUCCACCAUGCCUGGCUAAGUUUUGUAUUUUUUGGUAGAGACAGGGUUUCACCAUGUUUGGCGAGACUGGUCUUGAACUCCUUACCUCAGGUGAUCUGCCCAUCUCGGCCUCCCAAAGUGCAGGGAUUACGGGGGUGAGCCGCCGGCCUGGCCUACAUUAUUAAAUUCUUAAACUGAUGUUACACAGGCAUCAUUAUAAAAAUUACACGGUAGGGAAUUAGUUGAUAACUACUUUAAAAUCUUUAAAGUAUAAAAUACAUACUUUGUUCUAUUUAUAAAACAUGAUAUGAAAUAAAUGACACAUUCGCUGUAUUAAAUCCAAUAAAUUGUCAAAAAUAGAUGCAUUACGUGUAGACUGGUAUGGAUUAUUGAACAAAUGUAAUUACAUUUUUAAAUUCAAGCUGUCUGAUACAGAAUGUAGAACUAGGACACUUGCAAAGGUAGCACUGUAGUAAACAUUUUAUCUUAAUGAUAUUAUGCUACUUUAAUACUAUGUAAUAGCACAAAGUCAACACUUUUAGGAUGCCCAGGUACAUACUGGAAAUUGACCAUUAUAUUCGUUUUUUUCUACAGAUAUUGAAUAUUCUUUUAAGGGAUACACACAGACAACUAGCUCUUUCUACCAGAAAAGCGUUUUUGUAGACACAUUGCAGUUUCAUUUUUCUUUAAUGACUGACACUGCUCCAUAUGUUCAGAGCUCAUACUUCUAAAAGAAAUUUGACAAAUUGUUUGCUGUGCAUAG